UACGGAGGGUGCAAGCGUUAAUCGGAAUCACUGGGCGUAAAGCGUGCGUAGGCGGUUUUGUAAGUCAGAAGUGAAAGCCCUCGGCUCAACCGGGGAAUUGCUUUUGAAACUGCAAGACUUGAGUCUCGGAGAGGUCAGGGGAAUUCCAGGUGUAGGAGUGAAAUCCGUAGAUAUCUGGAGGAACAUCAGUGGCGAAGGCGCCUGACUGGACGAGUACUGACGCUGAGGUACGAAAGCGUGGGGAGCAAACAGG
RNAcentral lists this ribosomal RNA (253 nucleotides) under uncultured bacterium. Its description in RNAcentral is "partial 16S ribosomal RNA". It matches the Rfam family "Bacterial small subunit ribosomal RNA", at positions 524 to 776 of the family's 1533-position model. The record is from RNAcentral.